Molecule: ribosomal RNA, 460 nt
Filed under: uncultured bacterium
Lineage: Bacteria
Description: bacterial SSU rRNA
Rfam family: Bacterial small subunit ribosomal RNA
Source: RNAcentral
AACGAACGCUGGCGGCAUGCCUAACACAUGCAAGUCGAACGAAGCCUUCGGGCUUAGUGGCGCACGGGUGCGUAACACGUGGGAAUCUGCCCUUCGGUUCGGAAUAACAGUUAGAAAUGACUGCUAAUACCGGAUGAUGACGAAAGUCCAAAGAUUUAUCGCCGAAGGAUGAGCCCGCGUAGGAUUAGGUAGUUGGUAGGGUAAUGGCCUACCAAGCCGACGAUCCUUAGCUGGUCUGAGAGGAUGAUCAGCCACACUGGGACUGAGACACGGCCCAGACUCCUACGGGAGGCAGCAGUGGGGAAUAUUGGACAAUGGGCGAAAGCCUGAUCCAGCAAUGCCGCGUGAGUGAUGAAGGCCUUAGGGUUGUAAAGCUCUUUUACCAGGGAUGAUAAUGACAGUACCUGGAGAAUAAGCUCCGGCUAACUCCGUGCCAGCAGCCGCGGUAAGCUAGUCUACG